This is a non-coding RNA of Ciona intestinalis (vase tunicate), 56 nucleotides long. The record is from Rfam. Lineage: Eukaryota; Metazoa; Chordata; Ascidiacea; Phlebobranchia; Cionidae.
AAGUUGGAAUUUGAUUGACUGGGUGUUGAAACGUACCAGUUAAUUAACUUCAACUA